AGAGUUUGAUCCUGGCUCAGGACGAACGCUGGCGGCACGCUUAACACAUGCAAGUCGAACGAGAGAAGAGGAGCUUGCUUUUCUGAUCUAGUGGCGGACGGGUGAGUAACACGUGAGCAAUCUGCCUUUCAGAGGGGGAUACCGAUUGGAAACGAUCGUUAAUACCGCAUAACAUAAUUGAACCGCAUGAUUUGAUUAUCAAAGAUUUAUCGCUGAAAGAUGAGCUCGCGUCUGAUUAGCUAGUUGGUAAGGUAACGGCUUACCAAGGCGACGAUCAGUAGCCGGACUGAGAGGUUGAUCGGCCACAUUGGGACUGAGACACGGCCCAGACUCCUACGGGAGGCAGCAGUGGGGAAUAUUGCACAAUGGGGGAAACUCUGAUGCAGCGAUGCCGCGUGAGGGAAGAAGGUUUUAGGAUUGUAAACCUCUGUCUUCAGGGACGAAAAAAGACGGUACCUGAGGAGGAAGCUCCGGCUAACUACGUGCCAGCAGCCGCGGUAAUACGUAGGGAGCGAGCGUUGUCCGGAAUUACUGGGUGUAAAGGGAGCGUAGGCGGGAUCGCAAGUCAGAUGUGAAAACUAUGGGCUUAACCCAUAAACUGCAUUUGAAACUGUGGUUCUUGAGUGAAGUAGAGGUAAGCGGAAUUCCUAGUGUAGCGGUGAAAUGCGUAGAUAUUAGGAGGAACAUCAGUGGCGAAGGCGGCUUACUGGGCUUUAACUGACGCUGAGGCUCGAAAGCGUGGGGAGCAAACAGGAUUAGAUACCCUGGUAGUCCACGCCGUAAACGAUGAUUACUAGGUGUGGGGGGACUGACCCCUUCCGUGCCGCAGCAAACGCAAUAAGUAAUCCACCUGGGGAGUACGACCGCAAGGUUGAAACUCAAAGGAAUUGACGGGGGCCCGCACAAGCAGUGGAGUAUGUGGAUUAAUUCGAAGCAACGCGAAGAACCUUACCAGGUCUUGACAUCGUAUGCAUAGCUCAGAGAUGAGUGAAAUCUCUUCGGAGACAUAUAGACAGGUGGUGCAUGGUUGUCGUCAGCUCGUGUCGUGAGAUGUUGGGUUAAGUCCCGCAACGAGCGCAACCCUUACUGUUAGUUGCUACGCAAGAGCACUCUAGCAGGACUGCCGUUGACAAAACGGAGGAAGGUGGGGAUGACGUCAAAUCAUCAUGCCCCUUAUGACCUGGGCCUCACACGUACUACAAUGGCUGUCAACAGAGGGAAGCAAAGCCGCGAGGUGGGGCGAACCCCUAAAAGCAGCCUUAGUUCGGAUUGUAGGCUGCAACCCGCCUACAUGAAGUCGGAAUUGCUAGUAAUCGCAGAUCAGCAUGCUGCGGUGAAUACGUUCCCGGGCCUUGUACACACCGCCCGUCACGCCAUGGGAGUCGGUAACACCCGAAGCCUGUAGUCUAACCGCAAGGAGGACGCAGUCGAAGGUGGGAUUGAUGACUGGGGUGAAGUCGUAACAAGGUA
This 1470-nucleotide ribosomal RNA is filed under the name metagenome. RNAcentral describes it as "bacterial SSU rRNA". It matches the Rfam family "Bacterial small subunit ribosomal RNA". The record is from RNAcentral.